This 503-nucleotide ribosomal RNA is filed under the name uncultured bacterium. RNAcentral describes it as "bacterial SSU rRNA". It matches the Rfam family "Bacterial small subunit ribosomal RNA", at positions 975 to 1482 of the family's 1533-position model. The record is from RNAcentral.
CUACCCUUGACAUGUCUGGAAUGGUGCAGAGAUGUGCCAGUGCCCGAAAGGGAGCCAGAACACAGGUGCUGCAUGGCUGUCGUCAGCUCGUGUCGUGAGAUGUUGGGUUAAGUCCCGCAACGAGCGCAACCCUUGCCAUUAGUUGCUACGAAAGGGCACUCUAAUGGGACUGCCGGUGACAAACCGGAGGAAGGUGGGGAUGACGUCAAGUCCUCAUGGCCCUUAUGGGUAGGGCUACACACGUCAUACAAUGGCUGGUACAGAGGGUUGCCAACCCGCGAGGGGGAGCUAAUCCCAUAAAACCAGUCGUAGUCCGGAUCGUAGUCUGCAACUCGACUGCGUGAAGUCGGAAUCGCUAGUAAUCGCGGAUCAGCAUGUCGCGGUGAAUACGUUCCCGGGUCUUGUACACACCGCCCGUCACACCAUGGGAGCGGGUUCUGCCAGAAGUAGUUAGCCUAACCGCAAGGAGGGCGAUUACCACGGCAGGGUUCGUGACUGGGGUG